Molecule: long non-coding RNA, 2357 nt
Filed under: Zostera marina
Lineage: Eukaryota; Viridiplantae; Streptophyta; Magnoliopsida; Alismatales; Zosteraceae
Description: long non-coding RNA (ZMAR_LNC001171)
Source: RNAcentral
GUUUCUAAUCUGGUUACCAUACUUCAUAUCAGAAUUUUACAAAUCUACAUUAGUUUGCUGACUUGGGGAAGAGUAUGAAUCAUUCAUACAAAACGUCACCAUUAGAGGUACAGACAUUUCUUAUGUAUAGAUAAAAGCGAUGUUUGCAAACAUAAAAACUCGUCAACUGCAAAAGAAUCCUAGCCUCACACCACCAAUAUCGCAGAAAUGGGUCAUGGAACAUUAAAUUGUAGGUAUGUUUCUGUAAAGUUCCCGACAACGACCACUAUACGAUGAUUGGUUGCUAAACAGAGCAAAUCCGUCAAUACAGUGGCUCCCAAAGAGCCUACUAAUCUGUAGUGGUACCCGAAUUCCAGGGGCCACUAAUCACAUCGUAUCGGCCAAGGCCUACAUAGGUAACGAUUAUUUAUGACAACUGAAAAUAUUUGUGGUUCCCAAUUGAAAAUGUUUUACCCUCUUUAGAAUGGAUAGUUAUAAUAUAUAUAUAGUUAUAUAUAUUAUGAAAAUCAUAAUAUCAAUCUUAUCGUAUUUUAUUUUUUAUUCAUUUGUAUUUUAAAACAUUCUACUUCAAUAUCUUUAAUGAAUUUUUUUAAUAUUUACAAAAAUAAUAAUAAUCCUAAUAAAUUUAUAAUUUGGAUUGAGGUGUAAGGUGAUUACCCAAGGGUCUAAACUGCAAAGCAAUGAGAGCAGUUAAUUCUCGAACAUCAGAAUCACAUGAAAUGAAGUAUGAAAAUAUUUUUUCUUUAUUUCAUUAAAAAAAUACAAGUCUUGAUUUUUGAAGAUAUUCCAUUAUUCCAAUAAUACCAUAAUCAUCAUAUUUCAUUUUUUUAGAUAUGUUUUGAAAUUCAAAUUGUGUUAUACUUUUCAUUUAAAUGAUUGGAAUGACGGUAUUUAUCUUUGUAGAAUUGUGUGUGCAUCUGAAUAAGAAAAUAUCUACCAUUUAUACAACAGCUACACACGUCUACACUACAUUCCUCUGCAACAUUACACUAUAGUGGUUUCAAUUGAUGGCUGUUUUUAACAUCUCCUGUUUAAACAUAUCUGCGUUUCAGUAACAUGUCAAUUAAUUUACAAAACCCCAGAAUUUUUUUUAAAAUGAAAAUUUUGAUUCAGAAAUUACCAAAAGAAUGUCAUGAUCAGUGCCAAAUGUGCUGUGUGCAUCUUCAAAGCACUUUAAAGAUGCUUUUUCGUGCUUUCUGUACAACCCAACAAACAAAUAGAUAAUCAUAGAUCAAUGUGUAUUGAUUGGUUGGCAGUUGGCAUUAAGAAUGAAGAUCACCUCUUGCUGGAAGGAUCUCUCAUAUCAAACUCCUCUGUAUUCAUAUUAAAUCCGCACAGAACUACAUAGUGUCCUGAAAUACUCAUUCAAAUCAACUUUCACUUGAUUUCAAUCCAUCUAGCUUCUAGGUAGAGGAAGAAAAACUUCUCACCAAUAUAGCUUCUUGAAUCAUGUACGUCCUUGGUCAAAGAGUCACUGCAUGCAAUGGUAAUCGAUAAGUGGGUAGUAUAUAUCUCGGCCAAUUCUGAUGAUAUUUUCUUUCUUCGAUCUUCGGAUAUUUUUACCUUAACUUGAACUUGUCGACCAAUGCGACUGCUAUGUAGUUGCCCGACAGUAUCAAUCCCGAUAUUUCCUGGGCGCUGGUGGAUCUGUUCUGUUGCUUAAGGAUUCAUUGCCACGGCAAACAGAGAAAUCAACAAGUAAUUAAGCGAAACAAAACAGCAAAGAGAAAAAGGAAAAAAGAAAAACCUGUACGUCGAUUCCAACUUGUUCUGCCUUUUGAAAUAAUCCAUCAACUCUAACUAUGUCGUUCCGCAGCUGUUCCUAAAUUACCUUCAAUUCGGAAUUCAGAUAUGCCGAGACAACAAAUUAAGCAGUUAUCUGGCUUACCCUGUAAUAAGCCUCUACGCAGUAGUCGGGAUUUGCACCGAUGGUGGUGGUGUGGUAGGAAAAAGCAACUGAGAAUGUAUGCAACAAGUAGGCCAAAUCAAUAGUCCAGAUGCUGUUACAAUUUGCAAAGACGUAUGAUAUUAAUAAAGGUAGAAAUGAACACAAUUUAGUAAUUUGCCUAAUUUAGAUUUAAACAAAGAAAGAAAACAAAAUUCCAAUUUAUGACCUGUUGGUGGGACAGAGAUCUCUGAGAUGGUGGAUUUCGCAAUGUGUCAGACCUAGGGUUCUUAGAACCAUGAGAACGCAGGCUAUGCCACAAUCCCAAUCCGAUACUUGCUGAACAUGAGGGACCUGCGUCGAUGAAUGGAUGGAUGGAUGGAUGGAUCAGCAUAAUAGGAUCGAUUGAAUUACCUCGUAAUUUUCACGGCGAUUCAAAAGGAAAGGAGAAAUGACGACGGAAACUGACAUC